GAAAUGCGAUAAGUAAUGUGAAUUGCAGAAUUCAGUGAAUCUUCGAAUCUUUGAACGCACCUUGCGCUCCUUGGUAUUCCUUGGAGCAUGCCUGUUUGAGUAUCAUGAAAUCUUCAAAGUAAAUCUUUUGUUAACUCAAUUGGUUUCUACUUUGGUAUUGGAGGUCUUUGCAGCUUCACACCUGCUCCUCUUUGUUCAUUAGCUGGAUCUCAGUGUUAUGCUUGGUUCCACUCGGCGUGAUAAGUUAUCUAUCGCUGAGGACACUGUAAAAGGUGGCCAAGGUAAAUGCAGAUGAACCGCUUCUAAUAGUCCAUUGACUUGGACAAUACUUUUAUGAUCUGAUCUCAAAUCAGGUAGGACUACCCGCUGAACUUAAGC
This 378-nucleotide unclassified non-coding RNA is filed under the name plant metagenome. RNAcentral's name for it is "partial contains 5.8S ribosomal RNA, internal transcribed spacer 2, and large subunit ribosomal RNA". The stretch from base 1 to 105 matches the Rfam family "5.8S ribosomal RNA", at positions 50 to 154 of the family's 154-position model. The record is from RNAcentral.